Molecule: long non-coding RNA, 1472 nt
Organism: Salvelinus namaycush (lake trout)
Lineage: Eukaryota; Metazoa; Chordata; Actinopteri; Salmoniformes; Salmonidae
Exons: 5
Source: RefSeq, a predicted model, not a curated record
AGGCUACAUAACGUGUAAGGUAACUUCUUUGAAAAGUCAUUACUUUAUUACAUUGUUCAACAUUUUCUUAACAUUUGUCAUAAUUAGCAAUGCAUUUGUAUCUGCUCUCGUUGUAGAUCGGCUGCAUAUUUUCCGCCAUUUUCUUCAAAUCUGAAAACAAUGUGAAGCCACGCCCAUCUCCUGAAGAAUUACAUUAUGCUCCCUAAAGUACGGAAAUAGUGUCUUCUGCGUGUAUACUUCAUAUUUUUGCAAAUUUAGUACGACAUCCGGGAACUUUUGGCAUACUAACUAUAUCCAUACUAUGACCAAUAAGCAUACUAUAUUGCGGUUAGUAUGAGUAUUCGAACACAGCUAUUGUCCUUAUCCAUACCAUAGCUGCUGCUAUGGAUAUGCCUUUUACUUGAGAGCUCUGUCUUCUUUUCCAGGUCUCCCUUGACAAAAUGAGGUUAUUUUUGACUUGGUAAAAUAAUCUAACGGUUGUGUGCACUCUCGCAAGAUAGAAUUGUGUGGUUUGGUGGCAGAUUUUCAAAAGAAAAUAGAAAUAUACAGUAUAUCAUCAGCACAUCUCAAUCAGAUGAGAUACACAGCUAACCCAAAUUUAAUUUCAUUCAUAAAUGUGGACACUAAUUAUUGUUAAUAUUCCAAUUCUCUAGGCCCUCCAUUCCAAAACCUGAAGCCCCCUGUCCUCAGCAGGAAAGACCAGGAAAAAGUGUUGGCUUAAGGUACAACUUCCUAUUGAGGAAAUAUCUGCCAACCAGGCUCGGUGGGUGACAGGUAACAAUGAUUCAACCAAGCUGCUCCAGGCCUGGAGUGGCAUGCUGGAACUUCCAGAGGCUUGUAGACCUGAAGCAGUAUGAUGUGGUCCAGAUCUGACAUCCCUAUUAGCUCAACCACAGUCCUCAAAGCUGAAGUCGUCUGCCCCUGCACCUGCUACAUCGGCCACGACAGGUGAUGCAGAUCUGCCACCCCCAGCAGUUCAGCUGCAGUCCUCUGCUGUGGUAUUUCAUUUACCGACUGCACCAGUUCCUACCACACUGGCCGUGAAGGGAGAAACUUUUGAGGAUUCCCAAAUGGAUACAGAUCUGCCAUGCACUCCACCACUGCCUGACAGACUCAUCUCUGAGAAAGCAGAGAUGGGUGGCUGACAUGGAAAAAUAAAACACAACACACACUCUCUCUCUCUGUCAUACACACUCACACACAUUAUCCCCAGUGUAAAUGAGUUGUAAUUACUUGUUUAUUUUAUGUUUGCUCAAUUUUAUUUUAGGAUUUGAGAUAUCUACUCCUACAUAUCCAUUCUCAAUAUCUACAUAAUUACUCUAACUAUCAAAUCAAAGUGUUAUUGGUAUUGUAAAAGACUUGCUUAAUUUGUACAGUUUGAGGAAAUUCUGUGUGCUUUUUAAAAACAUGCCUCCCUCUCACACACACACAUUAGACCCAAUGUAAAUACAUUGUUUAUUUUAUGUAUGCUC